AUGGCCGGUCUGCGCAGCUCCUCCUCUCGCCCCCGUAGCCCUAAGCCCGAAAAUUGGAUGAAGUGUUCCGUCCCGCAUAGCCAAUUAGUGGAGCUACAGACCAAGGGAUUCCUCCCCCCGGCGUACAUGGUGCCGGUUCGAGCCGGGCUUGCCACCUAUAAUGGCGGAGAGCAAGCGCAGAGCCAUCCCGACCCCUCCAAGGGGGAGCGGGUGUGCCUCAUUCCUUAUUUAUUAAGGGGACUUGGAUUUCCAAUCCUUCCGUUCCUGCGAGGGCUCUUGGAGUUUUACGGCCUCCAAUUGCAUAAUCUCACCCCUGCCUCCAUAUUACACAUCGCCGGAUAUGUGGCUCUUUGCGAGCUGUUCCUGGGCUUCGAAGCCCAUUUCGCACUGUGGAAAAGGUUAUUCUGCCUUGUGCCCCAUACACAGGGGGGCUCUAUAUUUCAAGUGGGCGGAGCCGAAAUAUGGCGCAUUGCCGGGACCGGAUACCUAUCCGGUACCUCGAAGAAGACGUCCGAAGACUGGCCUUCAGAGUGGUUCUAUAUAGAGGACGUCCCUCUUCCGAAUCCUGUUAGGAUCGGCCUUCGUGAGUUCAACAAUGCUCCUCUGAAGAAGCGCCUGAGCUGGCGACCAAGCAGCCCUCAGGAGGAAGAUGAUAGAGAUGUUUCUUACCUGAUGGGCCGGAUAAAGGUAUUGGCUCUAUCAGGGCUGACUACAACCGAUGUUAUGUCAAUAUGCAUUAUGCGAGGGGUGCAGCCGCUUCAAUAUCGAGGCCGCCCUAUGUGGGAUUUUAACGGGGAAAAUGACGCUACCCGAUGCGGCCGUAAGGGGCCGGACUCAGUUGCCGCCCUGGCAAAAAUUCUGUCCUGUCUGUAUAAGGGAGAGGAAGAGGAGUUCCUCCGCAUCAAGCCACGGGACGGAUUCUCCAUGUACAAUCCUCCGAGCUGGGUAAGCUGCCACUCUUCAUGCCCUUCCCUUCCGUAUUUUCGUGAUAGAUAUUUUAUUUUGCUCGUUCAUUGCAGGAGCUGCGCAAGGCAGUAA
This 1038-nucleotide ribosomal RNA is filed under the name Triticum aestivum (bread wheat). Its description in RNAcentral is "partial small subunit ribosomal RNA". The record is from RNAcentral. Lineage: Eukaryota; Viridiplantae; Streptophyta; Magnoliopsida; Poales; Poaceae.